CAUAGCGACGUUGCUUUUUGAUUCUUCGAUGUCGGCUCUUCCUAUCCCUGCCUCGCAUCCGGGGCAAACGGUAAGAUUGUUCACCUACCAACAGGGAACGUGAGCUGGGUUUAGACCGUCGCGAGACAGGUUAGUUUUAUCCUACUGAUAUGCGUUAUCUUCGUCGUGACAGUAAUUCAACUCAGUACGAGAGGAACCGUUGAUUCGCAUGACUGGUAAAUUCGGUUGCUCGACAGGGCAUUGCUGAGAAGCUGUCAUGCGUGGGAUAACGGCUGAACGCCUCUAAGCCGGAAGCCUCGCUGGAAA
This 306-nucleotide ribosomal RNA is filed under the name Bacillus sp. SRB_336. RNAcentral's name for it is "eukaryotic LSU rRNA". It matches the Rfam family "Eukaryotic large subunit ribosomal RNA", at positions 2853 to 3153 of the family's 3401-position model. Lineage: Bacteria; Bacillati; Bacillota; Bacilli; Caryophanales; Bacillaceae. The record is from RNAcentral.